This 486-nucleotide ribosomal RNA is filed under the name uncultured bacterium. RNAcentral describes it as "partial 16S ribosomal RNA". It matches the Rfam family "Bacterial small subunit ribosomal RNA", at positions 30 to 507 of the family's 1533-position model. The record is from RNAcentral.
AUUGAACGCUGGCGGCAUGCCUUGCACAUGCAAGUCGAACGGCAGCACGGGUGCUUGCACCUGGUGGCGAGUGGCGAACGGGUGAGUAAUACAUCGGAACAUGUCCUGUAGUGGGGGAUAGCCCGGCGAAAGCCGGAUUAAUACCGCAUACGAUCUACGGAUGAAAGCGGGGGACCUUCGGGCCUCGCGCUAUAGGGUUGGCCGAUGGCUGAUUAGCUAGUUGGUGGGGUAAAGGCCUACCAAGGCGACGAUCAGUAGCUGGUCUGAGAGGACGACCAGCCACCCGGGAACUGAGACCGGCCCCAGCUCCCCCGGGGAGCGGGCAGGGGGAAUUUUUGGACAAGGGGCGAACCCCUGACCCAGCAUGCCCGGGUGUGAAAAAAAGCCCUUGGGUUUUUAAAGCAUUUUUGCCCGGAAAAAAAUCUUUGGCCCUAAUAGGGUCGGGGGAUCACGUUCCCGAAAAAAAAACCCCCGCCUACCUACGUC